This 253-nucleotide ribosomal RNA is filed under the name uncultured bacterium. RNAcentral describes it as "partial 16S ribosomal RNA". It matches the Rfam family "Bacterial small subunit ribosomal RNA", at positions 524 to 776 of the family's 1533-position model. The record is from RNAcentral.
UACGGAGGAUGCAAGCGUUAUCCGGAAUGAUUGGGCGUAAAGCGUCCGCAGGUGGCGAUGUAAGUCUGCUGUUAAAGAGUGAGGCUCAACCUCAUAAGAGCAGUGGAAACUACAUAGCUAGAGUGCGGUAGGGGCAGAGGGAAUUCCUGGUGUAGCGGUGAAAUGCGUAGAGAUCAGGAAGAACACCGGUGGCGAAAGCGGUGUGCUGGGCCGUAGCUGACGCUGAGGCGCGACAGCGUGGGGAGCAAACAGG